AGGAACAACAUCGAUUCAAGAAAUGGUAUGGAUGAUCACUAAUAACCUAAAGUUCGAAAGAGCAAAAAGGCCUUUAGAUGGACGCAGUCCUUUCGUUGAAUUUUCGAUGCUGUACGAUGAUAGAGAAUGGUUUAGCAAAAAGCCAGAUUAUAAACCUACUCUGUACUUGCAUGACUCAGUAGGAUACUAUGAAGUUUGAAGAGUCCGCUAGUAGUUAAGUCACACUUACCUCUAGAUUUACUUCCAAAGCAGUUGCAGGAAGGCACAAAAAAACCUAAGGUAACCGUUUUAACUAAAAAACAAUCAGUUAAUACAUUUGACCUAGAUUGUUUACGUGGCACGAGAUCCAAGAGACGUUUGUAUUUAUGUCUUAUUAUCACCAUAGUAAAUUACUAAAGGGAUUUAAAGGUACCUGUGAAGAAUUUUGUGAAUUAUUUUUAGCUGGGAAAGUACCAUAUGGGCCUUCUUGGCAAUAUGUAUUACCAUUUUGGGAAAUAAGAAAUAGUCCAAAUAUACUUUAU
Molecule: long non-coding RNA, 521 nt
Organism: Zophobas morio
Lineage: Eukaryota; Metazoa; Arthropoda; Insecta; Coleoptera; Tenebrionidae
Exons: 3
Source: RefSeq, a predicted model, not a curated record